UGGAUAUGUUGUUGCCCUUACA
This 22-nucleotide non-coding RNA is filed under the name Rattus norvegicus (Norway rat). The record is from RNAcentral. Lineage: Eukaryota; Metazoa; Chordata; Mammalia; Rodentia; Muridae.